RNAcentral lists this long non-coding RNA (1397 nucleotides) under Gouania willdenowi (blunt-snouted clingfish). RNAcentral describes it as "lncRNA (ENSGWIG00000009371.1)". The record is from RNAcentral. Lineage: Eukaryota; Metazoa; Chordata; Actinopteri; Blenniiformes; Gobiesocidae.
GUGGGCGGAGCCUAAGAAGGAAAAACAAAGCCUAACAAACUGGAUGGAUGGUGGAACUGAAGACCAUAGUUUGCGUUUAUCCUGAGGAAAUGAAGUGAUUUAAUGUUUCCGUUUGGUUUCCUAGUCGUUAAGAAGUGAACAUUGUCGUCAUGGGUCAGCUGCUGUCAUCAGAAGAAGAGUUUAUUCAAGUGAAGGAAGCUGUGGGUUCCCUUCUGUUUAAUGCCAUGUCAGAGGGUGGGGCCAUACCUGACGUCACAGUGCUACACCCGUUCCUCCUGACCAAUCUGAAUCAAGGUUUGGCCUCCCAGGACCGCCUCCAGCAGCAGCUGCAGCAGCUGCAGGACCACAUUGGGAACAGGGCGCCCACCUACCUGAGGGAUCUGAUUGGUCGACUGUCUGCUUUCACAGAAGAGCCUCGUGUGACAGGGCUGGUGGGGUGUGUGGUUACCAUGGUGAUUGACAUGGCCUACUCAUCAUCCAGGCAGCCUACAGGUGUUAAAUUGAAUGCAACGUCCUGCCAGCAGAGAAUCGUUGAGCUCCAGGAGGUGAUGGAGGAGUAUCUGAAGCGCUGCAGGAUCAACCUGAGUGAUAAAAGGAGGCUGAUGGAGGACACAGUCAGACUGGAGGCCCAGCUCAGCCUGACACUCACACAGCUGAUGUCCUGCCUGCUGAGGGGAGACUGUAGCUCCAGGUCUUUGAGACUUUGGGCGAGUGCAGCAGCGUUUCACACUCGGAUGUUGGAGUACCUGGCUGCACUGGAGGGUAAGCCUGAACCUCUUUCAGCGAGGGCAGCACUGGAACGUUACAAAGAGGACCUAACACAGAUUAUACCUGAAUACAGAUGUUAUAAAACCAACACAGUAGUUGUGGUGAAAUGUCGAGGUGGAUGUCUAUCAACGGAGGUUCCAGAGGAAGGAUCCAUGACUGGACUCACUGUGACGGACCGAGAACUAGUGAAGAGUGUGACCAUCCCUUUGUCCAGCAUGCAGACGGAAAUGGAGAGAAGAAGGAAAGACCUUGUUGGUGAUUCCGCCUCUAUUCUGAACCUGGACCUGAUUAGCUCCGAUCAGUACGCUGAGGCGUACCUGGACCACCUGUUUUCUGAUGAAGGGCCUGUGGCAGCGCUGCAGAAGUGUUUUACACGGGUCGGUGAGAAUCUAAGUACGCGAAGGACUGGAACAGAGACAAGUAAAAAGUUAAGGCAAAGCAGAGGUGAGCGUUUUAAAGAGCGAGUGAAUGAAGGAGCAGGAGAAACUGAAAGGAGGGAACGACGACGAGAAGAGUUGGAGAAACUGAGCAUCGUAGAAACACAGCCUGAAGAAAGCCUUACUCACAUUCACCAUUCUGUGAAAAGUGCGUAAACUAAAGCAGCCAAAUAAAAGAAACUAUGAAAACCA